Molecule: long non-coding RNA, 356 nt
Organism: Peromyscus leucopus (white-footed mouse)
Lineage: Eukaryota; Metazoa; Chordata; Mammalia; Rodentia; Cricetidae
Exons: 2
Source: RefSeq, a predicted model, not a curated record
UGACACACACACACGAACUCAGAGAUGGUAGCGACAUUCACAGGGCCUGCACAGGUCCAAGCCAGAUUGAGUCUCAGCCCUGAGAGGGGGAAGUAGACAGGAUUUCCAUUCCUAACCAAGAAGCUAUCUGCAACUGACCUCUGUCUACUUACAAAGGAAUCUGACUGGGCCGACUCUAACAUCAUGAACUACCACUUAUCCCGAAGGCCCUGCCUCUCCCACCUGCCUGCUCAUCAGAGCCAUCGUCCUCGACUUCUCUCAGCUGACCCCUGUUCUCUCUGAUUUCAUCAAGCAUUCUGCUUUGACAAUCUCCAGCUGAGCUUCAUAAGCUGAAAAUAAAAAUGUAUUUCUUUCAA